GUGGGGAAUAUUGGACAAUGGGCGCAAGCCUGAUCCAGCAAUGCCGCGUGGGUGAAGAAGGUCUUCGGAUCGUAAAGCCCUUUCGACAGGGACGAUGAUGACGGUACCUGUAGAAGAAGCCCCGGCUAACUUCGUGCCAGCAGCCGCGGUAAUACGAAGGGGGCUAGCGUUACUCGGAAUUACUGGGCGUAAAGGGCGCGUAGGCGGCUCUGUUAGUCAGGCGUGAAAUUCCUGGGCUUAACCUGGGGACUGCGCUUGAUACUGCAGGGCUUGAGGCCGAGAGAGGGUAGUGGAAUUCCAGGUGUAGUGGUGAAAUACGUAGAUAUCUGGAGGAACACCGGUGGCGAAGGCGGCUACCUGGUCGAGUACUGACACUGAGACACGAAAGCAUGGGGAUCAAACAGGAUUAGAAACCCCAGUAGUCC
Molecule: ribosomal RNA, 425 nt
Filed under: uncultured bacterium
Lineage: Bacteria
Description: partial 16S ribosomal RNA
Rfam family: Bacterial small subunit ribosomal RNA
Source: RNAcentral